GACAGAGGGUGCAAACGUUGUUCGGAAUUACUGGGCGUAAAGCGUGUGUAGGCGGCCACGCAAGUCAGGUGUGAAAGCCCCGGGCUCAACCCGGGAAGUGCACUUGAAACUGCAUGGCUCGAGUAUCGGAGAGGUUGGUGGAAUUCUCGGUGUAGAGGUGAAAUUCGUAGAUAUCGAGAGGAACACCGGUGGCGAAGGCGGCCAACUGGACGAAUACUGACGCUGAGACACGAAAGCGUGGGGAGCAAACAGG
RNAcentral lists this ribosomal RNA (253 nucleotides) under uncultured bacterium. RNAcentral describes it as "partial 16S ribosomal RNA". It matches the Rfam family "Bacterial small subunit ribosomal RNA", at positions 524 to 776 of the family's 1533-position model. The record is from RNAcentral.